UACUCUCACACUCUCUAAUUAGUUAGAGAGUGGUGGAUUUGGAUGCUGCCUGGUACUUACUGUCAGGCUCAUCUUAAAUGAAUUAGUGCGACUCUUAGUUAAACAUAGUACGGUGUGAUAAGUAACCCUCGCUGUUUUCUGUCUGAUUAGGAGCUCUGUGCUUCAAACCGUCUCAGGACAGUAUUCGAUA
Molecule: unclassified non-coding RNA, 190 nt
Filed under: uncultured Sebacinaceae
Lineage: Eukaryota; Fungi; Basidiomycota; Agaricomycetes; Sebacinales; Sebacinaceae
Description: sequence contains ITS2
Source: RNAcentral